Molecule: non-coding RNA, 44 nt
Organism: Paenibacillus sp. Soil750
Lineage: Bacteria; Bacillati; Bacillota; Bacilli; Caryophanales; Paenibacillaceae
Source: Rfam
AUAGAAGAGGUUCGCAAACUCCCUCUCUAAAAAACUAUGAAAUG